UNGGCUUACGUUUAAAUUAGGGCACAGACUUU
This 32-nucleotide non-coding RNA is filed under the name Mus musculus (house mouse). Lineage: Eukaryota; Metazoa; Chordata; Mammalia; Rodentia; Muridae. The record is from RNAcentral.